Molecule: ribosomal RNA, 468 nt
Filed under: uncultured bacterium
Lineage: Bacteria
Description: partial 16S ribosomal RNA
Rfam family: Bacterial small subunit ribosomal RNA
Source: RNAcentral
GACGAACGCUGGCGGCGUGCUUAACACAUGCAAGUCGAACGGAAAGGCCCUGCUUUUGUGGGGUGCUCGAGUGGCGAACGGGUGAGUAACACGUGAGUAACCUGCCCUUGACUUUGGGAUAACUUCAGGAAACUGGGGCUAAUACCGGAUAGGAGCUCCUGCUGCAUGGUGGGGGUUGGAAAGUUUCGGCGGUUGGGGAUGGACUCGCGGCUUUUCAGCUUGUUGGUGGGGUAGUGGCUUACCAAGGCUUUGACGGGUAGCCGGCCUGAGAGGGUGACCGGCCACAUUGGGACUGAGAUACGGCCCAGACUCCUACGGGAGGCAGCAGUGGGGAAUAUUGCACAAUGGGCGGAAGCCUGAUGCAGCAACACCGCGUGCGGGAUGACGGCCUUCGGGUUGUAAACCGCUUUCGCCUGUGACGAAGCGUGAGUGACGGUAAUGGGUAAAGAAGCACCGGCUAUCUACGUG